Molecule: long non-coding RNA, 1549 nt
Organism: Vidua macroura (Pin-tailed whydah)
Lineage: Eukaryota; Metazoa; Chordata; Aves; Passeriformes; Viduidae
Exons: 4
Source: RefSeq, a predicted model, not a curated record
CCCCCCCCCCCUCACAGCGGGGUCUGAGGGCACCGGGCCCGGGGCUGGGCGGGGAGCGGGGAUCGCACGGCGGCACCGGCACCGGGGGCCCGCGGGGAACGGCCCUGGGCCCCUCUGAGCGCCCGAGAGAGCCCCGCGCUCCUUCCCGCCGUCACCGGAGCGGCUCCCCCCGGCUCCCGACGGCGGCCGGCCUUCGGGGGCAUCCCGCCAGCUCUUGAGGUGGCGAAGGGCGGAUUUUCAUGGGGAAAGGGCUGCCGUGGCACUGUGGAUGGCCUCGUGAAGCAGGUUUUUCCUGCAUCUGGGAAUUGGGACUCUGGGUGGUUAAUGGAAGGAAUCAGCAUGUGGGAUCUGGUUCCUGCUGUUCCCAGGAAAGGUGGUGCCUCUGCAGGGACACGAGUGGUGCCAGGCUGGCAGUGUCACCGACCCCCUCACCCGGGAUGAUCUGUCCUGUGUUUGCACUGGGGGUGUCAUCAGAGCCUGGUCAGGAGAGGUGGAACCAGCACUUGGCAUCACGAGAGAGAACGCAGUGGCACGAGUUCACAGUGCACAUGCUUGGAAGUCAUGGAAUGAGAGUAAAUAACCGUGUCCAGUUUUGGAGCAGGACAAGGAAAUGUCAGGUGCAUUUACCACCCCUCCUCCAAAGCAGAACGUGGUUAUGAUUCAAACAUUUAAAAGAAAACCGUUGGGAAGUGUGUCUGAACCCUGUGAGACAAUUAAAACGCAGAUUAUUCCUGCCCAGACUUGAAUCCCGGGAUCAUUAUGUUGGAAAAGAGCUCCCAGAUCAUCGAGUCCAACCUGGCUUGUCACCCGGCCCAGAGCACUGCGUGCCACAUCCAGGCAUUCCUUGGACAGCUCCAGGGGUGGGCACUCCACCACUGUCAGUAGUUUAACUUCAUGGAAUCUCCUCUCUUGGAAGGGACCCACGAGGAUCAGCCUCACUUUCCUCCAGCUGAUCAUUCCACGUGCCCUCAGCCUCUCCUCACAGCCUUCCCCUCCAGCCCCUUCGCCAUCUUCAUAGCCAAAAAAAAGCUCCUUCCAAAUCCGUGCUGGGUUUUUGAGGUUAAUGUCUUUAACUCGCUCUUUUCCACGUGUCCAUGCCUCUGUUUGCCCUUGAAUGGAGGAGUUGCUGCAGGAUUUCAGUGUGUGAAGCAAUCCCUCCCCCAGCAGUGUUUGGACAGUGUUCGUACCUGGAUGGAUGCGCUGGGCUGGGCGGACAGGCAGGGUGCAGGUGCAGGUUUUAGCAGGCCUGGAGCUCUGGGAGCAGCAGCCAGGAUGAACUCAGCAGCUGUUGUAACCUCCUGGUUUGGUAACUUCUGCAUGUAGUUAUUAUCAGUGAUUUGGGACCGGCCCCUCAGCAAGCCAAGCACUCCCCCUCACUUCUGCAGCAGCUGGGAUUUAGCACUGGAGACCAUUAACUAACACCAAAAACAUUCUCUUCAGCUCCUUCAUGAAUCCUCAGAGGAGGAUUCUUUAUGUGAAAGACAUAUCUAUAUCUAUGUAUUAAUGUCUACAGAGAUAUAAAUACAAGUGUCCAUGCCCAGAUUUUCCA